ACCCGGCUCCUGACGUUCACAAGAAGGCAUUUGCACCCCAGGGCUCCUGAGACCAGAGUCAACCUUCCUGUGGAUCUAAAGGCGCUGCCCUCGCUGCCACCUGGAGCUGCUUCAUCACAGCCCGAGGCUCUUGUCUCAGAUGCUCAAUGUGCCCCUUGCCUGUGACCACCAGUGCCCCCAGAGGGCGCCCUUCCCCCAAAGGGCCAGUGGUCCUGAUUCUCUCCUCAAAGGGACCAAGAAAUAGGUCACAUCCCUUGACCAAGUUAGUUGUACAAAAGAAGCUCUCGAACCACUGAACUCAUAAACUGACAAAAAUCACCCCAAAACAAGAAGGGAGGAAAGGCAACUGCAAGCACUGAGUGUUCAUGCUUAAGGAGUCAUUGGCAACCCCGAAAGGGGAGCUUCUGCCAUUUUGAACAUGGAUUGCCUGAUAAGGGAGUGCAAACAUGUCAAAGAAGAACAUGCAGUGAGAGGACCAGGAAGUAUGCUAAGUUUGUCCUCCCCAGACAGUUGGGCUGAUGAGGGAGGGACUCUUUGCUUCUACAUAAAAAACAAAAGGCUCAGUCCUGCAUCUAUAAGUAUGGUAACCCCUUCCCUAAGAGCACAGUCUAUUUUUUGCAAGAACCAUAAAUAAAGCAACGUCCUUGUGCAAAAA
Long non-coding RNA from Antechinus flavipes (yellow-footed antechinus), 655 nucleotides. RefSeq lists it as uncharacterized. The transcript is spliced from 2 exons. The record is from RefSeq and is a predicted model, not a curated record. Lineage: Eukaryota; Metazoa; Chordata; Mammalia; Dasyuromorphia; Dasyuridae.